RNAcentral lists this ribosomal RNA (484 nucleotides) under uncultured bacterium. Its description in RNAcentral is "partial 16S ribosomal RNA". It matches the Rfam family "Bacterial small subunit ribosomal RNA", at positions 30 to 507 of the family's 1533-position model. The record is from RNAcentral.
AUUGAACGCUAGCGGGAUGCUUUACACAUGCAAGUCGAACGGCAGCGCGGACUUCGGUUUGGCGGCGAGUGGCGAACGGGUGAGUAAUGUAUCGGAACGUGCCCAGUAGCGGGGGAUAACUACGCGAAAGCGUAGCUAAUACCGCAUACGCCCUACGGGGGAAAGCAGGGGAUCGUAAGACCUUGCACUAUUGGAGCGGCCGAUAUCGGAUUAGCUAGUUGGUGAGGUAACGGCUCACCAAGGCGACGAUCCGUAGCUGGUUUGAGAGGACGACCAGCCACACUGGGACUGAAACACGGCCCAGACUCCUACGGGAGGCAGCAGUGGGGAAUUUUGGACAAUGGGGGCAACCCUGAUCCAGCCAUCCCGCGUGUGCGAUGAAGGCCUUCGGGUUGUAAAGCACUUUUGGCAGGAAAGAAACGUCACGGGCUAAUACCCCGUGGAACUGACGGUACCUGCAGAAUAAGCACCGGCUAACUACGUG